Molecule: transfer RNA, 74 nt
Filed under: Yersinia phage fHe-Yen9-03
Lineage: Duplodnaviria; Heunggongvirae; Uroviricota; Caudoviricetes
Rfam family: tRNA
About the family: Transfer RNA (tRNA) molecules are approximately 80 nucleotides in length. Their secondary structure includes four short double-helical elements and three loops (D, anti-codon, and T loops).
Source: Rfam by way of RNAcentral
CAGGGUGUAGGCAAAUUGGUUUGUCACCUGCUUUGGGAGUAGGAUUAAUGCUGGUUCGAGUCCAGUCACCCUGA